This 207-nucleotide ribosomal RNA is filed under the name uncultured bacterium. Its description in RNAcentral is "partial 16S ribosomal RNA". It matches the Rfam family "Bacterial small subunit ribosomal RNA", at positions 568 to 774 of the family's 1533-position model. The record is from RNAcentral.
UGCGUAGGUGGUAUGGCAAGUCAGAAGUGAAAACCCAGGGCUUAACUCUGGGACUGCUUUUGAAACUGUCAGACUGGAGUGCAGGAGAGGUAAGCGGAAUUCCUAGUGUAGCGGUGAAAUGCGUAGAUAUUAGGAGGAACAUCAGUGGCGAAGGCGGCUUACUGGACUGAAACUGACACUGAGGCACGAAAGCGUGGGAGGUAAACA